CUCAGUUUCACAAUUUACUCUUUUUAAUGAACCUCUCUUUUCUUUCAUUUCUCACCAUAUCCAAACUCGAUAAAGUUAGUUUCCACUGGCUGAUUCAAUCAAGCUCCGAGAUUCGUUUUGGAAUCCUCUUUAGAACUGUGGGGAGCCCACGCUGCAAGGUUAAACGUAGCUCCAAUUAGACAGUAAAUUCAGUUACGUAAACAGCUGAUAUAAGAUUUAUUAAUUAGGAUAUAAGAGUUAUCAAUUACAUUUUAAAUCAUUUUAAUAAAUAGAACAUAUUAUUUUUCACACUCACAGGCUUAAUCUAUAGCACGUACAUCUUAAUAAAUCUAAGAAAUUUCAGUUCUACUCCCCGAAUUCUCUAUUUGCAAUUCAAAAAAAAAGUAUUAUUUUUCAAAAUUUAUUAAUUUUAUAACAUCUAAAUUAAAUUUUUAUAUCAAUAAAUUAUUUAAAUAGUAAGACAUGAUAAAUAAAUUAAAAAUAUUAAAAGCAAAGAUUAAAUUAGUAAUAAUAUUUAUUUUUUUAUAAUAAUAUAUAUGCAUAAAAAUAAUUAUAUUAACAGCAAAUUCAUUAAACAUGUAAAAUAAAUUCGUUAAAAUUGAUUUGUUUUUUCUCUGCUGUUAAAAUUGACAUCAACUAUAUUUAACAGUUUAAUCUUAUAAAACCAUUUUGAAUACCACCAUGUGACUAUAAACAUAUAAAAGCUAUAAAAUGGUGAAAUGAAUUAUUUAUUAUUGAAUUUUACAUUCAAAAUUAAUAUAUUUAUUUUUCAUAAACAAAUGAUUUAAUGCAGGUGGAUGAGUAGAUAUUGAUAGUUGUGGUUAAGAAUGUGGCACUUCGUUAUUGUAUUGUUCCAUCAUUGAGUCACUGCCUUGAAAAAUACAUAAAAACUUUGUUAGAAUAUUGAUAUUUUCGUAAUUACUACUUAAUGCUUAGUAUUUAUAAUAAUAUAUCUAUUUAAUUUUUAGAUUUUAUAAAAUAUAAUUAUUUAAAUUUUUAUAUGUUCAUGUAAAUUAUACAGAUUUUAAUUUUUUAAUAAAUAUAUAUAAAUAUUUAUAAUUUUAUCAAUGAGUUCGAAUAGCAUUUAUAAAUACCGGUAGCGGUUCGAUUUCUGAAUUUUUAUGAAAAUGUAUAUUUAUGAAUAGAAUUUUAUCAGGUACACUGGAUAGAAUGUAUAGUAAACUUGCUAUGAGUUUCGACGACAUUAAGUUGACCUAAAUUUUAGUGCCGGUAGUGGUCCGAUUUUCAGAUCGUUACAUACCAUCUAAAACUAAAAAGAUUUUUAAAUUAACAAAAGUAAAAUAUUUAAUAAAUUUUGUAAUAGUUAUUAUUGUUUUGUUAGUUAAUAAUUUUAAAAAUAAUCUUUAAUAUUUUGAAUAAAAUAAAAUAUUAAUAUUUAAAAUAUGAGAAAAUUCAUUAUGAAAAGUCAUUUUUUAAAAUAUUUAAUUAAAUAAUAAAAAAUUAAUAUUACCGAAUAGGUCUAAAUUAUACAACGAAAGAUAUUUAUUUUUUUUCUUAUUAAAAAAUAAUAAUCUCAUAUUAAAUUGAUGAGACAAAGUCAAGUUUAUGUUUUUAUAUUUUUUAAAAAUGAAAAUAUUAAUUUAGAUUUGUGACAUCAUCGUUUCGUCAUUACAAUUCAUACCAUUUUAAGGUAACUUUAAUUCAUUUUAGAAAUAAUAAUCAAAAAUAAAAUUUCUAUUUAUGUGCUUAAUUUUUUUUAUUAAUAUUUUUGUGUUAAAAUUUAUUUAAGUAUUUGAAAUUUGAAUAAAUUUCAAAAUACGCAUUAGGUAAUUUCAUUCAAGUUUUAGAGUGAUCAAAUAUAUUCUCAAACCCUCUUUUUAUUUUUUCUAAAAUUAUUAAUGAAAAAGAAAGUAAAUGUCUUUCUUUUUUUUCAAAUAUUUUUCAUCUAUUUUUAUUUAAAAAUUAUUUUUCUCUUAUUAUUUUAGUACUAGAGAAGGCUGAUGGGUAGGGGUGUGCAUCGGUCGGUUCGGUUCGGUACCGAAUUGAACCGGCAAAAACCGAUUUAACCGAAUUCUUUUAAAUUGUAAACCGAACCGAACCAAAUAAGAUAUAAAUCGAAUCGAACCGAACCGAAUUGGUUCGGUUCGGUUCGGUUCGAAAUCGGUUUUUGAUCUUUUCAGUUAGCUUAAUUUCGAAGCAAAUUCUUUUGUUCACAAAUUUGAAACUAACAGAUCAUCUGCUUCAUAUACAGGCUUCAAAUUUCAGAGCAAAAGCCGAGAUGAGAUUCAAUCAGCUUUAACUGAACAUCAAAAGCCAACAAUUUUACUCAGGAAAUAUAAAGUUCAAAAUUUCCCCCAAAUGUAGAGGAAAUUUAGGAGGCGAAGAAAUUGAUUUAAACAUACAUCAAAAGGAGAAUGGUGAACAAUGAGAAUCCACACCAGCAACAAAUUUUCUUUAAAACCAUUAGAAAAACAAAAGAAUGGAAUCAAUUGAAUUUACCUUGUAAGGAUCAAUAGCUUUCGCCUCUCCAAAUAACAGAACCAAAGAUAAAACGACAGUCAAUGACAAUGUAAAGGGCUUGUUCAUCUUCUGAAAAUCUGCAGUGCGAAAGGGAAUAUCCCACUGGGUGGGUGGAUGGCCGUGGCUGCGGGACUGAAGACGCGAAGGAUGGAGAGAAAGACUCUGGCUGGCUUUCGCGAGUGNNNN
This 2667-nucleotide long non-coding RNA is filed under the name Manihot esculenta (cassava). RNAcentral's name for it is "long non-coding RNA (MESC_LNC005760)". Lineage: Eukaryota; Viridiplantae; Streptophyta; Magnoliopsida; Malpighiales; Euphorbiaceae. The record is from RNAcentral.